RNAcentral lists this ribosomal RNA (498 nucleotides) under uncultured bacterium. RNAcentral describes it as "partial 16S ribosomal RNA". It matches the Rfam family "Bacterial small subunit ribosomal RNA", at positions 30 to 523 of the family's 1533-position model. The record is from RNAcentral.
AUUGAACGCUGGCGGCAUGCCUUACACAUGCAAGUCGAACGGUAACAGGUCUUCGGAUGCUGACGAGUGGCGAACGGGUGAGUAAUACAUCGGAACGUGCCUAGUAGUGGGGGAUAACUACUCGAAAGAGUGGCUAAUACCGCAUGAGAUCUACGGAUGAAAGCAGGGGAUCGCAAGACCUUGUGCUACUACAGCGGCCGAUGGCAGAUUAGGUAGUUGGUGGGAUAAAAGCUUACCAAGCCGACGAUCUGUAGCUGGUCUGAGAGGACGAGCCGCCACACUGGGCCUGAGACACGGCCCAGACUCCUACGGGAGGCAGCAGUGGGGAAUUUUGGACAAUGGGCGCAAGCCUGAUCCAGCAAUGCCGCGUGCAGGAUGAAGGCCUUCGGGUUGUAAACUGCUUUUGUACGGAACGAAAAGCCCCGGGUUAAUACCCUGGGGUCAUGACGGUACCGUAAGAAUAAGCACCGGCUAACUACGUGCCAGCAGCCGCCGUAA